GGGAAGAGGCUAGCAGAGGGAGAGAGGAUCAUGGGGAGGGGAGGUGAAGGCACGGAGAGUAACAAGAGAAAAUAUGUCACAAAGAAGUGACUCAUGGGAGGGGUGUCACAGGAGGAAGGUCACAGGAGGAGGGGGUUCGUUGUGGAGGGAGGGUCACAGAGGCUGACAGUCACACUGAGCAGGGAUUAUUAAUGGGGAAGAGGAACCACACAUUAAAGAGAAUGUCACAGGUGAGGGGGAGGGGUCUUAGCAAAGGUGGUCAAGAGGGAGGGAAGGUCAAAAAGGAAGGGGUUAUGGGGAGGUGAUGAGGAAGAGAAUGUCACAUAGGGAAGAGGAGGUCAUGGAAGCAUGAUGUCAUAGGGUGGGAGGGAGGGUGACAGGGAAGGGCAGCCAGAAGACCUGAGGGCAACACAGAAGUGUAGGCUCUGGGUGCCUGUCUACAGCGCUGUAAAGUCCUGGUGGUUGCCCCUGGGUUCCCUCCAGUGCCAGGAAGCUUUGGAAAGAAUGCUGAAACCCUCAAGCCCCUUCCUGCUCUUGCCUCUAGGGUCCAGGAGAGAGCAGAGGCCUGUAGGCCUGCAGACACCAAGUCCCCAGGGCUUCCAAAACACGGGCUUCUUCUACAGGAAAAUAUGAGGAAAAGACAGUCGUCCCCAGACAGCCAGUUCCAGCGGGAUGACCUAGAGUGGCCUUUGCCAUCUGUUGGUCCCAUUGAAACAUCACGGGAUUUGAUAUCUCAACCAGAGUCACUAAACAGAUCAUACCAGGACGGUUGCCAGAAAAGCACCUAGCCUGCAGGUCAUUUGUCUGCGUGACCUUGGGUUUCUGAAGCUGUGAAAUGGGCUCAUCCAUCUUGCCAGAACUUGGGGAAUGUUAAGGGUGAGUGAAAUAAACAUUUGAACCCAAAGAACA
Molecule: long non-coding RNA, 909 nt
Filed under: Mus spicilegus (steppe mouse)
Lineage: Eukaryota; Metazoa; Chordata; Mammalia; Rodentia; Muridae
Description: lncRNA (ENSMSIG00000007248.1)
Source: RNAcentral